RNAcentral lists this ribosomal RNA (1569 nucleotides) under Triticum aestivum (bread wheat). Its description in RNAcentral is "partial small subunit ribosomal RNA". The record is from RNAcentral. Lineage: Eukaryota; Viridiplantae; Streptophyta; Magnoliopsida; Poales; Poaceae.
AUGGAGGCGGAGCUCACUCGCGCGGUGCUCGUUACUGUCACCGGCACCCGCCAAACGGUGGAUUUGGCGUCCACGGCUGAGGCGCUACACAGAGAGUUCGAUAUCGGCCCGGCAGACAUGUCGAUUUGCCCGUAUUACCCGAAGGACUUACUCGUGCUCUGCAAGGAUGGGGCACUCCGGGAGCGCAUGGUGCGUUCUGGAAAGGCGUCUGCUUCCUGGUUCGACCUCAAGCUUCGACCGUGGAUUCGUCAAGCGCAGUCCACGGUGGCGCAUUUGCCAUUCCUUGUCCCUGUCUUGCUUCGUGGAGCUCCGGCGCAUGCAUGGAGCCAAGGGACAACGGCGGUCAUCCUGCGUGGACUGGGAUAUGUGGUGGGUGUGGACGACAGCAUUGCGCGCCAGCACGAUAUGGCGGAUUUCAGAGUCUGGCUACGUACGGACCGCCCAAGGAUGAUCCUGCGGCGCCGUCUACUCUUCAUCGACGAACUGAGGCGCACGCUAUGGGCGGGUGCUGUAGUCCGCCGUGUGACGGCUGUCCGGUGUGCUACUACACUCUGGUACCCCGUUGACAUCACCGUUCUUGCGGAGCUGACGCUGGUGGACUCUGAGGAGGUGGAAGAUCAGCCACCGCCAUCACCGCUCACAGGUGAUGAUGAUUGGCAGCCUAGUGCAGGUGCGGGUCGGCCUUCGGGUGGUGGGGCUCACAGCAAUGGUGGCUCUGGCGCCGCUGGGUCAGGUGAAGAUGCGGUGAGCAUGGCUGGCUCUUCGACGAUGGCGCCACUACCGGGCAGGCAGGUGAUUCAAACGGCUUGGGCCCCGGCGACCUCGGGCGUCCGUCAGCACGACAUCAGUAGCUGCGUGGCUGCCGUCACGGGAUCGGGUUUGGUGGCUAGGCCCAACCUGGCUGGGGAAGUGUGCGGCGACCGGCCGUUCGCAUGCGACCGCAUGCAGCCAAGGGAGGAUAUUGGUCAGGUCGGUGGACUGGAAAGUGCGGCUAACCCCACAAUCCUGUGUCCGCUUGUGGCGUCGUGUGUGGCUCCUCGACCAAGGCUACAAGCGGCAGGGCCCGCUGUCUCCCCUGCGUCUGUGCAGCUUUCCAGGUGGAUGCUCAGUGGUGGAACGAAUCGUGUCGGGUCAGUCCAGUUGGGCUCCUUGCUGCUAGACCUAUCUGGUCUGACCGGAGAGGAUGGGCCUACUUUUGCUGGCAGGCCCACUAUGGUGGGAAUCAGGCCAUGGGAUUUGUUCCAAGUUAGCCUAUCAGAAGAGGGGGAUCUGCAUAUUGAUGGGAUGCCCCAUGCACGUCACAACGUGAGGAAACAGACGGGACUGUACCGGUCACGCAACCGGAUAGGGCCCAGCCUGGGGAAGGGGGAAACCAAACUACAAGAUGUAUCAGUGACCGUUGUACAACAAUGCCUUGGAAAUCAAUAUCAAACGGAGUCCAAACACCGCGAAACUUUUUGUGGAUUUUUUAUGGAUCAGAAGACUCCUGAUGGGCUAGAGCAGCACCUGGGGGCACAACCCACCAGGGCGCUCCUGGGGGCUCAGGCAUGCCCAGGUGGGUUGUGCCCA